UACAGAGGGUGCGAGCGUUGUCCGGAAUCACUGGGCGUAAAGGGCGCGUAGGCGGCUUGAUAAGGUUGCGGUGAAAGCCCGGGGCUCAACCCCGGGUCGGCCGUGGCAACUGUCGAGCUGGAGCACUGUAGAGGCAGGUGGAAUUCCGGGUGUAGUGGUGAAAUGCGUAGAUAUCGGGAGGAACACCAGUGGCGAAGGCGACUUCCUGGCCUGUUCUUGACGCUGAGGCGCGAAAGCUAGGGUAGCAAACGGG
Molecule: ribosomal RNA, 253 nt
Filed under: uncultured bacterium
Lineage: Bacteria
Description: partial 16S ribosomal RNA
Rfam family: Bacterial small subunit ribosomal RNA
Source: RNAcentral